This 1267-nucleotide long non-coding RNA is filed under the name Cricetulus griseus (Chinese hamster). RNAcentral's name for it is "lncRNA (ENSCGRG00000026286.1)". The record is from RNAcentral. Lineage: Eukaryota; Metazoa; Chordata; Mammalia; Rodentia; Cricetidae.
AUUCGAUGAUGGUAUUACAAAGAUGUUAAGUCUACCAAAGUUUAUGUACAAAUCAAAGCAUUCUUCGUACCCUAGCAGGAUGGAUUUCUUGGUUAACUGCUUUUAUAGUCAUGGGCCUCAAACCUAAGCGUUCUGUGAUUACUAGACAAGACUUCAGCCCUUCUAUUAAAAAUAGAAAUUGACAGGGUGAUUCCACAGCAUUGAGACCAAAAUGACAGGAUAGUUAAAACAAUGUUUAUUAAAAUGAUCACAUUCUACCUGAUUCCAGACUAGUCAAUAUAUUGUAAAAUUAUAAUGGGACUGAGAAAUAGACUUACACUUUAGAUUUUCAGCAAAUGUGCCAAAGUUCCCUGGAGCCAAUGCCUAUCUAACAGUUUCUGUAAUGAUUGAGCAUUAAUGUGAAGAAAGAAAAAAGAACUAUCUUGGGUACAACCUCCCAUCAUAUGUACUAAAAUGAAGUGUAGAUCUAAACCUUACACACCUAAAAAACGUGAGAGAAAGCUUAGUGUUUGGCUUGUUUUGUUUUUUGUUUUAAAUGUUUUCUUGCAGGAAGGUGAGUAAGUGUGAAGGAGGCAGAGAAAAGGACGACAAAGUUUGUUAUGUUUUAGAAGAAUUUGAACAAAAGGCCUUCAGGUGAGAAAUAAGUGCCAAAGCAUAUAAUUUGGCCAGCUUUGUGGCACAUAGGAGAAGAUGGAUUUUUUUCACAUCAGAUGCUUAGGUAGUAUGAUGAGGCAGUCCAUUUGAAAGUUAGAACAGACGUGGCCUGACACGAGUAGAUGUGUAGUUUUGACCCAUCAAAAGAAAGCUCUUUAUUGCUGAGUAAAAUAUUUAGAGAGAUAAAUAAUGGGCUUUCUGAAUAGAAGAAUCAUGUUAUUUGAAGGCAGCAAGAUGGAAGUGAAAAAUUUCAAUUGGAGAGAAUUUUAUUUUUAUUGUAUACAGUGAUAAGACCAAGAAAGUGUGAUACUUUGUAAGGCUGUUACUGGAGAUUUGUCAUAGGAAAGGUAAAAAUCUACAACAGAGCAGUGGAUAAAUUAUGGCACAUUCAUACAGUGUGCACAUAUGUAAAGGUUUUAUGUAUUAAGAAUACUACAGCAUACUAAGUAGGAGCAGAACAGCAUGUAACACAUAGUUCUGUUUUGCAGUAGAGGACAGGUACGAUAUACCAAGGGUUAAUGAGACAUGGAGUUAGGAACAUUUUUAACAUUUUUUACUUGUGUUUUUUAUAUAAAGAUUAUUAAGACAAAAUUUAUCUUAAAAGACUCUGGCU